RNAcentral lists this transfer RNA (72 nucleotides) under Camelus bactrianus (Bactrian camel). It matches the Rfam family "tRNA". From Rfam's summary of the family: Transfer RNA (tRNA) molecules are approximately 80 nucleotides in length. Their secondary structure includes four short double-helical elements and three loops (D, anti-codon, and T loops). RNAcentral also lists the same sequence under 2 other names. The record is from Rfam by way of RNAcentral. Lineage: Eukaryota; Metazoa; Chordata; Mammalia; Artiodactyla; Camelidae.
GUGGAUAGAGCUCGGUGGUGGAGCAUGUGCUUGGCGUGCAUGAGGUCCUGGGUUCAAUCUCCAGUAUCUCCA